AUGCGCUUAUGUCGUGCACCAUGGCAAGGAGUACAUGGGCUCUUGCCGAACCGGAGCUAGUGUCAAAGAUGGCAGAGAAUGUGAACCACGGGCGAAGAAUUGGCUAUUCGACUUAAAUGAAACAUUGGAUCAUUGCUUGUUUACAUCAAUGGUAGUCACUCUAUGGGCUAUAUGGUAUACAAGGAUAAAAGCAAUACAUGAAGGAAUUUUUCAGUCUCCAUAGCAAACCUCAUCUUUUCUGACAUCAUACAUAAGCGAGUCUCGCCGAACCCUCCGACAAAGGCUUCUGAACUGGAUUCCCAAAGAAGUGUCUUUGCN
This 318-nucleotide long non-coding RNA is filed under the name Hordeum vulgare. RNAcentral describes it as "long non-coding RNA (HVUL_LNC003501)". The record is from RNAcentral. Lineage: Eukaryota; Viridiplantae; Streptophyta; Magnoliopsida; Poales; Poaceae.